This 713-nucleotide non-coding RNA is filed under the name Lelecella limenitoides. The record is from RNAcentral. Lineage: Eukaryota; Metazoa; Arthropoda; Insecta; Lepidoptera; Nymphalidae.
AAAUAAUUUUAAUUAUUUUAAAAAUAAUUAUUUAUUUAUGUAGUAAUUAAUAUUAAAAAUUUAAGAAAUUAAGAUUUAGUAAUAUGAAAAUUAAUAACUAAUUUUGUGCCAGCAGUUGCGGUUAUACAAAAAUUAAAUUAAAUUAUUUUAGUUUAUAAUAAAUAAAUUUAUUUAAAAUAAAUAUUAAAUUAUUAAGUGAAAUUUUAAUUUAAUUAAAUUUUAUUUUUAAAUUAUGAUUUAAUAAAUUUUAAUAUAAACUAGGAUUAGAUACCCUAUUAUUAAAAAUUUAAUUAAUAAUACUAAAAUAGUAAAUAAUUAUUUAUUGAAACUUGAAUAAUAUGGCGGUAUUUUAGUUCAUUUAGAGGAAUCUGUCUAAUAAUUGAUAAUCCACGAAUAAAUUUACUUAGUUUAAAAUUUUGUAUAUCAUUGUUAAAAAAAUAUUUUUAAAUAAAAAUAAUAUUUAAAAUUUUUAAUUUAAAAUUAAUUCAGAUCAAGAUGCAGAUUAUAAUUAAGAAUAAGAUGGAUUACAUUAAAUAUAUUUAAAUGAAUAAUAUAAUUGUAAAAUAUAUUAGAAAAUGGAUUUAAAUGUAAUUUUAAUUAAUUUAUUAAAAUGAUUAAAAAUUAAAAUAUGUACAUAUUGCCCGUCACUUUCAUUUAAAAAUUGGAAUAAGUCGUAACAAAGUAGAGGUACUGGAAAGUGUUUCUAGAAAGAA